Molecule: ribosomal RNA, 376 nt
Filed under: Babesia gibsoni
Lineage: Eukaryota; Apicomplexa; Aconoidasida; Piroplasmida; Babesiidae
Description: SSU rRNA
Rfam family: Eukaryotic small subunit ribosomal RNA
Source: RNAcentral
UAAGGAGCGAAUACAUACAGGGCAUUGUCUUGUAAUUGGAAUGAUGGUGACGUAAAAUCUCACCAGAGUAACAAUUGGAGGGCAAGUCUGGUGCCAGCAGCCGCGGUAAUUCCAGCUCCAAUAGCGUAUAUUAAACUUGUUGCAGUUAAAAAGCUCGUAGUUGAAUUUCUGCGUUGCCCGACUCGGCUACUUGCCUUGUCUGGUUUCGCUUUUGGGGUUUUCCCCUUUUUACUUUGAGAAAAUUAGAGUGUUUCAAGCAGACUUGUGUCUUGAAUACUUCAGCAUGGAAUAAUAAAGUAGGACUUUGGUUCUAUUUUGUUGGUUUGUGAACCUUAGUAAUGGUUAAUAGGAACGGUUGGGGGCAUUCGUAUUUAAA